This 254-nucleotide ribosomal RNA is filed under the name uncultured bacterium. Its description in RNAcentral is "partial 16S ribosomal RNA". It matches the Rfam family "Bacterial small subunit ribosomal RNA", at positions 524 to 776 of the family's 1533-position model. The record is from RNAcentral.
UACGUCGGGUGCGAGCGUUGUCCGGAAUUAUUGGGCGUAAAGAGCUCGUAGGCGGUCUGUCGCGUCGGUCGUGAAAACUUGGGGCUUAACCCUGAGCUUGCGGUCGAUACGGGCAUGACUGGAGUUCGGUAGGGGAGACUGGAAUUCCUGGUGUAGCGGUGAAAUGCGCAGAUAUCAGGAGGAACACCGGUGGCGAAGGCGGGUCUCUGGGCCGAUACUGACGCUGAGGAGCGAAAGCGUGGGGAGCGAACAGG